GACGAACGCUGGCGGCGUGCUUAACACAUGCAAGUCGAACGGUGAAGCGCCUUCCUUUUUGGUUGGUGUGGAUGAGUGGCGAACGGGUGAGUAACACGUACGUAACCUGCCCUCUUCUUCUGGAUAACCGCAUGAAAGUGUGGCUAAUACCGGAUAUUCUGGUUCUGUCGCAUGAUGGGUCUGGGAAAGAUUUUGUUUCGGUGGGGGCUGGGCUCGCGGCCUAUCAGCUUGUUGGUGGGGUGAUGGCCUACCAAGGCUGUGACGGGUAGCCGGCCUGAGAGGGUGGACGGUCACAGUGGGAGUGAGACACGGACGAGACUGCUACGGGAGGCAGCAGUGGGGAAUAGUGAACAGUGGGAGCAAGGCUGAUGCAGCGACGCCGCGUGAGAGAUGGAGGCCUUCGGGUUGUGAACCUCUUUCGGCAGUGAAGCAGGGCUGCCUCGUUUGUGGCUGGGUUGACGGUAGUUGGAUAAGAAGCGCCGGCUAACUACGUG
Molecule: ribosomal RNA, 494 nt
Filed under: uncultured bacterium
Lineage: Bacteria
Description: partial 16S ribosomal RNA
Rfam family: Bacterial small subunit ribosomal RNA
Source: RNAcentral